Molecule: ribosomal RNA, 254 nt
Filed under: uncultured bacterium
Lineage: Bacteria
Description: partial 16S ribosomal RNA
Rfam family: Bacterial small subunit ribosomal RNA
Source: RNAcentral
UACGAAGGGGGCUAGCGUUGCUCGGAAUCACUGGGCGUAAAGCGCACGUAGGCGGAUUGUUAAGUCAGGGGUGAAAUCCUGGAGCUCAACUCCAGAACUGCCUUUGAUACUGGCGAUCUCGAGUCCGGGAGAGGUGAGUGGAACUGCGAGUGUAGAGGUGAAAUUCGUAGAUAUUCGCAAGAACACCAGUGGCGAAAGGCGGCUCACUGGCCCGGUACUGACGCUGAGGUGCGAAAGCGUGGGGAGCAAACAGG